This 45-nucleotide non-coding RNA is filed under the name Trichobilharzia regenti. The record is from RNAcentral. Lineage: Eukaryota; Metazoa; Platyhelminthes; Trematoda; Strigeidida; Schistosomatidae.
AUCCAGAUGAUGAGUCCCAAAUAGGACGAAACACGCAUCCUGGAU